ACUGGAGUCUGNAACCCGACUCCACGAAGUUGGAUUCGCUAGUAAUCGCGCAUCAGCCAUGGCGCGGUGAAUACGUUCCCGGGCCUUGUACACACCGCCCGUCAAGCCAUGGGAGCCGGGGGCGCCUGAAGUCCGGGACCGCGAGGACCGGCCUAGGGCGAAACUGGUAACUGGGGCUAAGUCGUAACAAGGUAUC
RNAcentral lists this ribosomal RNA (196 nucleotides) under uncultured bacterium. RNAcentral's name for it is "partial 16S ribosomal RNA". It matches the Rfam family "Bacterial small subunit ribosomal RNA", at positions 1297 to 1500 of the family's 1533-position model. The record is from RNAcentral.